CAUUUCCAGUCCCCGAGGGUCUUGUUUUGUCCAGCCCAGGCCAAGAGGGAAGCUGUGCAUCUGCCCGGUGCAACCUCACACAGCAGUCCAGGCAGGGGCACCCUACACCCACACACCCCUGACAUCACCCUGGCCGCGGGUUCAAGGCAACUGACAUCUCUCCUGGAUCCCGAAAAGCAGGAGGUGGGAGGUCUGACCUGGGCCCUCUGCUUGGCUAUUUCCCCAGACACCAAACUCGGGCCUGAGGCCUUCUGGUUUAACUCCGGCAGAGAGGCCGUGGCCACCCAGCUGAGCGAGAGCUACUACAUCCUCCGGCCAGAGGUGGUGGAGAGCUACAUGUACCUGUGGCGACAGACCCACAACCCCAUCUACAGGGAGUGGGGCUGGGAGGUGGUGCUGGCCUUGGAGAAAUACUGUCGGACAGAAGCCGGUUUCUCCGGGAUCCAAGACGUGUACAGUAGCAACCCCAACCAUGACAACAAGCAGCAGAGCUUCUUUCUAGCGGAGACACUAAAGUAUCUCUAUCUUCUGUUCUCUGAAGAUGACUUGCUCUCCCUGGAAGACUGGGUGUUCAACACUGAGGCCCACCCGCUCCCGGUGAACCACUCAGACAGCUCCAGCAGGGCCUGGGGCAGAUACUGACCCCAUCUCCCGCCGCCGCCCUGGGGCCGCCGCAGGGAUGCCUUGCCUUUUCAGGAUUUGGGACUGUUCUCAAAGGGAUUGGGAACGAAGGCCCCAUCUCGGGCAGACCCCCAGCAGAUGUGUCGGACAAGCAACUUCUUUUCCUCUGUGAGGAGACAAGACUUGGAGACGCAGCGAUGUCAGGCCAGGGCCAUGGCCACACUGGCCCACACAUUCCUUUCUACAGAGAAUUUCUAUGAAGCCCACUCACUUGCCAUUCCAGGGCCAAAAGACCGGAGGUUUGCAUAUCCGCCCCUUGUAUUUGAUUUUCUUCCUUUUGGUUUCUCGGUUUUUGUUUUUGCUUGAUUUUGUCUUUUCUCUACAGUUUAGUUUUAUCACAAUUAUACAUAUAGUUUUCAAAAUCAUGCACUUUCUAAAAUGGCGUCAUCCUGAUAAACAAAACCGAGUGUUUGCACACACACAAAAUCUUGACCCCGUUAUCUAUAUUUUAAAUGCUUUUUGCC
RNAcentral lists this small RNA (1145 nucleotides) under Pongo abelii (Sumatran orangutan). RNAcentral describes it as "processed transcript". Lineage: Eukaryota; Metazoa; Chordata; Mammalia; Primates; Hominidae. The record is from RNAcentral.